AAAAAUGGUCAAAAAAGUGAUUACGUAAUAUGUGAACGGCCCCUAAGGAAAUUCGCUACUUUUUGACAUUGUUAAACUCAUACUUUGAGAACCAAAUCAUUAAACAUAAAACGCUGCACCACUUUGUUAGGUAUUUGCCCAAGAAACAAUUGUGCCAAGCCCUGCGCUUGCCUUGGUUUAGCCCAAUACUGAGAAACCUAAAAAGUUUUUGAGUGCAAUGUAAUUACAGGUAAACAUCAAACCUUGGCACACAAUAUCUUCGGAACGGAAGGUGGGAUUUGCAUAAUUUUUCACUUACUUGUUUAGCAUCCAGAGCUCUAUAAAAUAUAUAAAAACUGAAGAAAAAAAAGUUUUUACCCCACCCCUCCUCCCUCUGGCCUUAAAUAAGGAAACUUACUGAUUUGGACACCGGUCAGGGUUCAUAAGAGAAAUAAAGUAGGCACCCAAACUAGAUAUUAGUAAAUUAUUUUUGGAAAAUCAUCUCGAAGUGUUCAUUGGUGGUCUGUACAACAAUAUUAAUCGGAUAAUGCCGGAACGAUUGGGUAAGAACGUAUGUUUGAUCAUGGUGAGUUCUCAAUCGUGUCAAAGCGUAACACACCUUGUACAGGGGGGUUUUUAAUAUUGGUUCCCUUCUAUAUGGGCAUGCAUAUUGCACAAAUAACAUACGCUGUGUUACCAUCUGUCCCAGGUAGUUGCACUACCUGGGACAGAUGGUAACACAGCGUAUGUUAUUUGUGCAAUAUGCAUGCCCAUAUAAGGAGGGAACCAAUAUUAAAAACCACCCGGUAUAUAACUUGAUAAAGCGGAAAUCCCGCGAAAUAUCGUUCGAAAUAAAUAUUCGUUUACUUUGUUACGCUUUGACACGAUUGAGAACUCACCAUGAUCAAACAUAUGUACAACAACAAACAAAAAACUUUCGAAUUUUCUUUAAAUUUUGUUCUCGAGCGUCAGUGCAGCGAAUAAUUUUGAGAAUUUCCUUCUAAAACGGUUUCAAGCCAAUUUUCCGUGAUAUUGGGCUGAUUUCUGCCUCAGUUUCUCCCGGGGGACUUACUGAUUUUUGUAUCCGAAAGACUCGCACCCACCCUGUGUCAUACAGUAAGUCACUGAUCCCCGGCCCCCGUUAAAAGGUGCAAUUAUUUUGUACUAGUAUUAAAUCAUUUUGACUGCACGAUUCUAUGUUGUUUUUUAAAAGGAGCUUCAAAGUCAUGGUUAUCUAGAUAUAUCUAGAUAUACCAUAUAAACGUUGGAAGUUUUAAACAUAAUAUUAAUAGUGAAUUGUAAUCUAAUCCUUUUUCGGCUUGGAAAUAUCCUGUACGAAUCUUGCAUAUGUUGAUUUUUAUGAGUUUUGCCACAUUAAAAGCCACAUUUUUUAAUACGGCACAACCACUGUUUAGCCGUGAUUUUUAAACAAAUUUAAGUAUUUAGUAUUUAACAGAUGUAUGUGUUAACAUAAGAAAUGACAUGAAUCCUGAAUAUGUUUGUUGCCGUAUAUUUUGCCACAGUAAAAGCCGCAAUUAUUUUACAAAACCACAUUUUAGUCUUGAUUUUUACAUAUUGAAGUAUUUAGUAUUUAACAGUUGCAUGUGUUAACAUUAGAAAUGGCAUGAAUCCUGAAUAUGUUACCUGUCGUGUAUUAUGCCACAUUAAAUUUAAGUUAAAAGCAGCAAUUAUUUUACAAAAACACAUUUUAUUCGUGAUUUUACAUAGGUAUAUUGAAGUAGUUAGUAUAACAGUUGCAUAAAAAUGGGAUGAAAUUUGAAAAUCACAUACUACAGUAUCUUCGAAUUAAGUAAUUAAAGGUCUUUCACAUUCAUUUGUAGGAAGAUGGUGCUUAGAAACGUGCCAACGGAACAGGGCCGAUUACUGGUUACAGCACUGUACUCAGUACUGUCUACAUGUCGACACCUGCAUCAAUACAGAAGAUUUCUUAUGGAAGAAGGAGCUGUAGUUUGGGCUGGGAAGAACUCGGACUGCGGCUUGUGCUAGGAGAGGAGCUUGGGCUGGGGCUGGAAAGAGCUCGGGCUGGGAGGAGCUGGGCUCGGCUCGGGCAGGGGCUGAAUUUGGGGCCUGGCCUGGCACUCGGGCUGGCAUUCGGGCUGGCGCUCGGGCCUCGGACUAGGUGGUGGAGCUACGACAGGAAAAGGUACUAAGAUAUCCGAAUGUUGCGAUUGACGAUUUAUACUGCCAAGAUAUCCACAAUUCCGUACAACUCUCUACAGCGAUGUUUUAUAGUCUGUAAACUACGACAGCUGAUCCCGAUACUUUUGACACAAUAUUUGAUUAUUCUAGUCGAGUGAGAACAAACUAAAUCAGUCAAGAUGAACUCAGAACUUGCAAGUAACAUUCUAGACUCAGGAAGAAGCGUUUUAGUAACUAAGAAAUGGUGUAUAUUUAACUGUUUAUAUUAGUUUAAUACAUAUUCAGUUCUUGCAAGCAUCGCCCUGUCGGAGAUAAACAUAAUCUUGUUGCGGUACUCGAGACAGAAACUUUGUUCAUGAAUUUUGGGCGAUUCGCCUUCAUCAGAUAAUUAGCGGAAAUUUGUUUUGUAAAGGUUUAAACUUUACAAAUCUACUUCAUCAACACAAAUUUGCGCUAGUUAUCUGAUAAAGGCGGAUCGCCGAAAAUUCUUGAAUCCAGAAAGUUUUUUCGUCUUAAAAAGUUUCGAGUACAGUCACUUUCGGAUUAUAUCCCGUUUUGGGAGGAAACGGAUAUUAGUUAUCAACGGGAUAAAACCCGAAAGGGGAUAUAAUCAGAAUCAAAAUGCUAGUACUUUAUUGUGUCAGGUAGGAAACUGAUAUGCCAAUAAAGUGGGAUAUAAUCCGAAAGUGACUGUAGUACCACAACAAUAUUAUACAUAUGAUUAUAGUAUUAAGGAUUUGUAAAUAAAUUUGUUGAAUAAUUAAACGAUUCUAGAAUUCAGAUGUUAAUCUACAAACUAAAAUGAUCUGAAA
Long non-coding RNA from Bolinopsis microptera, 2951 nucleotides. RefSeq lists it as uncharacterized. The record is from RefSeq and is a predicted model, not a curated record. The transcript is spliced from 3 exons. NCBI's taxonomy places the organism in Eukaryota, Metazoa, Ctenophora, Tentaculata, Lobata, Bolinopsidae.